This is a non-coding RNA of Pelobates cultripes (western spadefoot toad), 257 nucleotides long. Lineage: Eukaryota; Metazoa; Chordata; Amphibia; Anura; Pelobatidae. The record is from the annotation of a GenBank genome assembly.
CCACAGCAAUAAUACUCCCAGUAAUGUGUCUGAGUGUAUAACAGAGCUCCACAGCGAUAAUACUCCCAGUAAUGUGUCUGAGUGUAUAACAGAGCUCCACAGCAAUAAUACUCCCAGUAAUGUGUCUGAGUGUAUAACAGAGCUCCACAGCAAUAAUACUCCCAGUAAUGUGUCUGAGUGUAUUACAGAGCUCCACAGCAAUAAUACUCCAAGUAAUGUGUCUGAGUGUAUAACAGAGCUCCACAGCAAUAAUACUC